UGGAGAGUUUGAUCCUGGCUCAGGACGAACGCUGGCGGCGUGCCUAAUACAUGCAAGUCGAGCGGAUCUUGUCCUUCGGGAUAAGGUUAGCGGCGGACGGGUGAGUAACACGUGGGUAACCUGCCCAUAAGACUGGGAUAACAUUCGGAAACGAAUGCUAAUACCGGAUACGCGAAUUGGUCGCAUGGCCGAAUCGGGAAAGGCGGAGCAAUCUGCCACUUAUGGAUGGACCCGCGGCGCAUUAGCUAGUUGGUGGGGUAACGGCUCACCAAGGCGACGAUGCGUAGCCGACCUGAGAGGGUGAUCGGCCACACUGGGACUGAGACACGGCCCAGACUCCUACGGGAGGCAGCAGUAGGGAAUCUUCCGCAAUGGACGAAAGUCUGACGGAGCAACGCCGCGUGAGUGAUGAAGGUUUUCGGAUCGUAAAGCUCUGUUGCCAGGGAAGAACGCUURCGAGAGUAACUGCUCGUAAGGUGACGGUACCUGAGAAGAAAGCCCCGGCUAACUACGUGCCAGCAGCCGCGGUA
This 530-nucleotide ribosomal RNA is filed under the name Paenibacillus sp. JDR-2. RNAcentral's name for it is "bacterial SSU rRNA". It matches the Rfam family "Bacterial small subunit ribosomal RNA", at positions 1 to 522 of the family's 1533-position model. Lineage: Bacteria; Bacillati; Bacillota; Bacilli; Caryophanales; Paenibacillaceae. The record is from RNAcentral.